UACGGAGGGUGCAAGCGUUAUCCGGAUUCACUGGGUUUAAAGGGUGCGCAGGCGGAUUUGUAAGUCAGUGGUGAAAGCCCCGGGCUCAACCUGGGAAUUGCCGUUGAUACUGCAAAUCUUGAGUGCAGUUGAGGUGGGCGGAAUACAUCAUGUAGCGGUGAAAUGCUUAGAUAUGAUGUAGAACAUCGAUUGCGAAGGCAGCUCGCUAAACUGCAACUGACGCUCAGGCACGAAAGCGUGGGUAUCAAACAGG
RNAcentral lists this unclassified non-coding RNA (253 nucleotides) under uncultured Chitinophagales bacterium. Its description in RNAcentral is "contains 16S-23S intergenic spacer region". It matches the Rfam family "Bacterial small subunit ribosomal RNA", at positions 524 to 776 of the family's 1533-position model. The record is from RNAcentral. Lineage: Bacteria; Pseudomonadati; Bacteroidota; Chitinophagia; Chitinophagales.